Molecule: long non-coding RNA, 2549 nt
Filed under: Gallus gallus (chicken)
Lineage: Eukaryota; Metazoa; Chordata; Aves; Galliformes; Phasianidae
Description: lncRNA (ENSGALG00010024324.1)
Source: RNAcentral
GGGAACUGUUGAGUCCUGGCCUGAACCACUGAUCGAUCACCUACUGAAAGUACCAGGUCAGCCCUGGGAGCAGAGGUGAAGGCAAUUCAGCUGUGUGACUGGAAGGGGUGGAGCCUGGCUGCACCUCUCCUAGACUCCAAGUAAGGGCUGAGUGCCACUGGGGAAGGGUCUCUUCCUGGAGAUUGCUCCCUUUGGAGUUUUUAUGCGAGCCUAGGACAUGGAGAAGAGGAGGCUGAGGCGGGGGGGAGGUCUGAUGGCAGCCUGAUGGCAGCUCCCUCAAUGUGAGCAGUGCUGACCUGUGCUUUCUGGUGACUGCUACAGAAGCCAAGGGAAUCGCUUGGAGCUGCCAGGGGAGGAUCAGAGCUAAGGAUGCAAGAGUCUGUCCUGCUCUGGGUCUGGCAGUUCCCUAAAGAGCCUAUGGCAAGGAUUCAUGGAGGAACAAGAUGGUAUCUCCUAGGUAAAGCCAAAAGCAGCAGGUCUUAUCCACCUCCCGCUGAAUGAGCGCUGCUUGGCUGGCAAAGUACUCGGACUCUGUCUCAGGCACAGGGCCAGGAGACACACUUUGUGGGCUGCCAGGACUGACCAUUAUUGCCCACCCUCCACCUCCUUGCCCCUCCACAUGCUUUGCAGGGCCCUGAGUCUGGUGAGAGACCAGCUACAGCCCCAGUGUCCUCAGAAUGCUCUGUCCAUGUAACACCUGCCAACUAACAGAAGUUACGUGAGAAGUUAUAAACUCAUUUACAUUGACAAGAUUUCAAGCUUGAGUAGGUUUCAAGCUGAGCCAGAAGGCAAUGGAAUCAUAUGCACUGAUGCCCACAGCUGCAGCCAGGCUUCUAGGUGAAUGCUGCAGGCCCUUCAGAGUUACCUUACAGAAAGCACACUGACACCAUUGGCAACUUCACGGGCAUGAACUGAGGCCCCCUGCAACACUAGAAUGCUGUCAGUGCAGCACAGCAAACAGCUGUGGAGCAGCAGUGUGACAGGCACAUAGUUGUGGUCGCCAGGCUCCCCAGCUGAAAUCAGAGCACAGCAAUGAUGUCACUGGUUCAGGCACUCGGACUAAAGUGAAACUUGCCAAUGCCAGAUCACAGGCCAAGUUUCUUCUAUGAAGAUGAACUCGCGAGAGAGAAAUUUGGUGUAAGGCCACACCACAGUGGCACAUGAGACAAGCAAGUCCACUCUCCCUGUGCUUGGUGGAGCAUUAAGUGAUGCUUUGGUUAUUGCUUGUGGUUUGUCUCUGGUCCAGAAGAGAUCGCUGCAUGUUCUCAUUACUUUGUGUAACAUUACAAGCUCUGAAGAACCUCAGUGGCUCUUUAUAACUUUACUUCCUCAAUCACUAAUAUCAGCUGGGCUGGGAGAAUUAAUUGAUCUGCAAUGACAGCUGCUGGCAUGCACACAAGGAAAUGCUCUGAGUUUCCAUAAGAAAAGCAUCAUGGCUGUACUUCGCAAGACAAGUUCCUACUGAGAUGCUCCAUUCUCACCAUCUGCUCAAGUAAGAGUUAACCAAUGCCCUCAGGUUCCUGAGUUGAAGAAUCUAAAAGCAAAAAGCUGCCUGUUGUGCAGAAAGGAGCCAGAAAUAAGCCACUAAAUAUAAACAGCAACUCACUUCAAUUCUGCCUGAACUGAAGCUCCCUGAGAUUAAGAGAUCUCUUCCUUUCCAUUCUCAGCAACCUUUGGAUCAUCAGCUGUUUGUGCAGGCAGUGUGACCAUAGCCCAGAAUAAACUGGGGCUCAGUAUGUGACUGCUUUAAUCUACCCAACAAUAAUCAGCUAAACUUCUUCAUGGCACCUAAUUAUGAAUCUCCAUCAUGAGGUUUUCUGUAUAUAAUGGUGAGGAUGUCAAAUAUAUUGCCAUACGUAAUAUUUUUUUUAAGAGUCCUGUGCAGCUUAUUCCAGUCUCUGUCUGUGCCCACUGACGAAUGCAAUCAUUUUCAGGUUUUAGAAUCCUUUCAGUAAAACAUGGCCUCUCUUCUCUCCGAGACUUGAAAAAUAGCAGAAACUGAGGGAAAAUAUGCUUUACUUGUUUGUCAGCAAAAUUUUGUCUAAAUUAAAUGGAAUUUCCCAGUUAUAGAAAACAUUUUACUCUUAAGAAAACUUGUUCCUGCUAAUAAACUUUCACUUAUUCUUUUGUAGAUUUUUUAUGUUUGUUUUUCUUCUAGGGGGAAAUGGUUUAAUUGCAGCUUAUGACACAUUUCAGCUGUCUGUAAAACACAUAUUAUAUUUGCUCAGUCUUCCUGAACUGUUGUAAAAAUAAGAACUUCAUGCUGUAAAAAAUUCACACAGUGAAUUCCAUGCAGUGGAUUUUCCAGUUAUAUCUCCUGAAUGCUGUGACAAAAUUUAUUCCUGCUUAAUAUCACUGAUGGCAAUGACAGAGAUUGUGAUUUGUUUUGUGAUAAGAGCUCUUCUGCCUUUUUGGGGGCUUCUUUCAGUCCUUCAAGUUACUCUUUCUUGCAAUUAAAGUUUUUAUUUUAUUAUCUUUUGCUCUUGGUAAAGUGUUUCUAAAUCUACUCAUCAAAGCCACAAUAAAUACAAGAUGGGAGAAAUAUCGUA